RNAcentral lists this ribosomal RNA (405 nucleotides) under Ctenidae sp. Its description in RNAcentral is "partial large subunit ribosomal RNA". Lineage: Eukaryota; Metazoa; Arthropoda; Arachnida; Araneae; Ctenidae. The record is from RNAcentral.
CUUCAAUAGUCGCAAUUCUGUGCUAAGGUAGUAUAAUAAUUUGUCUUAUAAUUUGAGACCAAACAAAAGGUUUAACAUUUUAAUUAAUAUAAAUUUUUAAACUUUAAAAUUUUUUUAAUUAUAAAAAAAUAAUUAUAAUUAAAAAAGACGACAAGACCCUAUUGAACUUAACUUUAGUUAAACUGGGGUAGUUUAUUAAAUAAAUCUUAAUAUUAAUACAAACUCAUAUGACCUAUUACAAUUAAUUAAAAAAUCAAGUUACCAUAGGGAUAACAGCGUAAUAAUUUUUAAAAGUUCUUAUUUUAAAAAAAGCUUGCGACCUCGAUGUUGAAUUAAUAUUCUAAUAUUAACGUAAUAGUAAAUAAAGAAAGUCUGUUCGACUUUUAAAUAAUUACAUGAUCUGAG